RNAcentral lists this transfer RNA (64 nucleotides) under Cricetulus griseus (Chinese hamster). It matches the Rfam family "tRNA", at positions 5 to 66 of the family's 71-position model. From Rfam's summary of the family: Transfer RNA (tRNA) molecules are approximately 80 nucleotides in length. Their secondary structure includes four short double-helical elements and three loops (D, anti-codon, and T loops). Lineage: Eukaryota; Metazoa; Chordata; Mammalia; Rodentia; Cricetidae. The record is from Rfam by way of RNAcentral.
AUGUAGCUCAAUUGGUAGAGUACUUGCCUAAUAUGCAGGAAGUCCUGGGUUCAGUUCCCAGCAU